CUGCUGUCGGAAAAUGUCCAGAGGCACCAUCCCUGCUAUGAAGAGGGAAUGCCAGUACAACAGCCACAAGGGGUCUUCCUGUGGCCCUCAAACAAAAAAUCACUGCAUUACAUCAGCAGGCCGGACGCGGUGGUUCAUGCCUGUAAUCCCAGCACUGUGGGAGGCCGAGACGGGCGGAUCACGAGGUCAGCAGAUCGAGACCAUGCUGGCUAACACGACUGCAUUGGAGAGAAAGGCGCCGGGACAGAAAAGCCUGAGAUAAACCACCUAUCAUUCUUGGAGAAAAGGAUGCUGCGGCUUUCCCGAUUUGGUUGAUGAGAUGGAAAAUCAACCCUUACAGGAAGGACAUCACCAAUUCCGGAAAGGAUGCUGCGCCAGUCACGUUUCCGCACUUUGUGAGACGCUGAAAUCUCCAGAAGAUGCCCAAGGUUUUCAAGCUGAACACAGGAGAAAUGACUCUGGAUCUCUGAGGACUGUUUUCCUCAAUAAGGAGCUGCAAUCUUGGCUCCACCACCCUCCCUCCAAAACAUCUCGUGUGUCUGGUAUCUGGUUAUAUUGUGGCCUGACAGAGAAGUUUCUUUCGGGGCCAGUGAAU
This 595-nucleotide long non-coding RNA is filed under the name Pan troglodytes (chimpanzee). RNAcentral's name for it is "lincRNA". The record is from RNAcentral. Lineage: Eukaryota; Metazoa; Chordata; Mammalia; Primates; Hominidae.